Molecule: ribosomal RNA, 497 nt
Filed under: uncultured bacterium
Lineage: Bacteria
Description: partial 16S ribosomal RNA
Rfam family: Bacterial small subunit ribosomal RNA
Source: RNAcentral
GAUGAACGCUGGCGGCGUGCCUAAUACAUGCAAGUCGAGCGAACGGACGAGAAGCUUGCUUCUCUGAUGUUAGCGGCGGACGGGUGAGUAACACGUGGAUAACCUACCUAUAAGACUGGGAUAACUUCGGGAAACCGGAGCUAAUACCGGAUAAUAUUUUGAACCGCAUGGUUCAAAAGUGAAAGACGGUCUUGCUGUCACUUAUAGAUGGAUCCGCGCUGCAUUAGCUAGUUGGUAAGGUAACGGCUUACCAAGGCAACGAUGCAUAGCCGACCUGAGAGGGUGAUCGGCCACACUGGAACUGAGACACGGUCCAGACUCCUACGGGAGGCAGCAGUGGGGAAUCUUCCGCAAUGGGCGAAAGCCUGACGGAGCAACGCCGCGUGAGUGAUGAAGGUCUUCGGAUUGUAAAACUCUGUUAUUAGGGAAGAACAUAUGUGUAAGUAACUGUGCACAUCUUGACGGUACCUAAUCAGAAAGCCACGGCUAACUACGUG